Non-coding RNA from Pelobates cultripes (western spadefoot toad), 696 nucleotides. The record is from the annotation of a GenBank genome assembly. Lineage: Eukaryota; Metazoa; Chordata; Amphibia; Anura; Pelobatidae.
CUUCUAUCUAGCCAUUUUACAGUACAGUUAGCCAGUUAUUUUAUUUUUAUUUAAAGACAGGUGCCCUUGAAGGCACAGAUUAGGAUAUUUUCAGUGACAUUUUAUUUAGAAUUACUGUGAGUUAACUGGUAUACUGCAAAUUGGGGACUUUUUCUGGUUUUCAGUGGGGCAUUAACCUGCUAGCUGCUUUUAUUUAUUGAUUUUAUAAUUUUUCUAUUUUGUUUAUUACAGCACGCAAUAUUAGUUUCGCAUUCUCUCAGGCAGCUAUUCUUAUGGUGCUGCUCACCUUAUGUCUACCUCAGCGUUUUAAUAGAUUUUGUUACGUUAUUUCGAUACAUGACUUCCUGCCACUCAGGUAGUUAAUUGGCAAUCUAUUUUCGCUACUCUAUGUAUAUACAUCUUGAUCGUGCUAAGUAGCCAUUUACUGCAACUAUAUUGCGUGCAUUGUGCAGUGACUAAUUACAUUUCUUUGGGGGGGGGGGCUUAUCUACUUAACCCCCCUUCUGGGUUUUUGCCCGUUUUCGUUUAUAUCUAUUUCACUCCCCUCCCCGUUUGUAUUUAUUCCUCACUUAAUAUAUUUAACUUAGUCACACCUUCUGCCUCAAUUAUCCACUAUUGAGACAGUAGUGACUAGUGAUUUAGUAUUUGUUUGCGUGUGUUUCUAGUUCUAUUAAUAAAGUAUUUCAUUGAUCCUUU